AACCACCGCUUCAUGAAGUGGUGGCCAAAUCUCUGAAGACCUCCAACUGAGAUGAGGAAACUAAGGCAAAUAAGGUUAAGUGAUCCUUAACACAAGCUAGUAAGAGUCCGUGGCUGAACUCAUGCAGAUAAGUUUUCCUGAUUCCCACCCCGGGACUCUGUGGGUUGUGUGGCCCAACUGCCUAAGACAGCACUUAGGAACUCAUCUAUCCCGUUGGACCUUACAGAUGAAGGAAGUAAAUGAAAGUGGUCAUACAGUUUUCAGUAAAGGAUGUGAUCAUUUGGACUGAUCCUGAGUGAAGUGAGCAGAACCAGGAGAACAUUGGACUCUGUAAUAAGAAGAUUAUGUGAUGAUCAACUGAGAUCGGCUUGUCUCUUCUCAGCAGCACAUUGAUCCAAGGCAACUCCAAUAGACUUGGUAUGGAAAAUGUCACCUGUAUUUGGAGAAAGAACUAUAGAGACUAAUUACGAAUAGAAGCAAAUUAUUUUCAUCCUUUUUGGUUGACUUUUUCUUUCUUAUAUUUUUUCCCUUUGUUCUGAAUUUUCUUUAACAAAAUGACUACUAUGGAAAUACGUUUAAAAUGGUUGCUCAUGUAUAAGCUAUAUCAGAUUGUUUCCUGUCUUGGGGACAGGAGAGGUCCUGUGUUAUGUGUAUUCUCCAAGACUGAUCAUAAUCAUUCUUUCAGACAAUGCAAUGGAUACAGAUAAGAGGGUCAAUACGAACCAAAGCAAUAGAUAAUUCUCUUAUAUUGACAAAAUGAUUAUUGUUGACAUUGAAAAAGUAUGAUUUUUAGAUCAGACCUGUUUUUUUCAGUGCAAUGUCUAUUACAUGUUAGGAUGCAAUAGAGAAAUUGUGUCUUUAAGAGAUGUGUCUCCAGCUGGUGAAGGGCUGAUUUCUCUCAUAAAUUAGCACAAAUCUUAAUUGAAUUAUUCAUCACAGAUUAAAAGUUAAAGCACUUGUUUUCAUGCUAAUUAUCUACAGUUAAGAUCAAACUAUAUAAACACGGGAAGAACUAGUGAUUUUAUCAGCACUGGCAGCUUUUUGUGAGAAAUCCUUGCACUAGUGUGGAUCACCUGCAGUACAGAUAAGCCAGAGAGAGAUUAUGAGUAGCAGUCUUUAAACCAAGAUCUUUGUUACUCCACGUUUCAUAUUCUAUCUACCCUACCACACUAUACAAAUCACAUUAAAUUUGUAGUUUUUAUAUCAGUGAAUGCUGAAAACAUUUUUAUUACCAAAUGAUUGCUUCUAAUGGAAAUUCAAAUUAUGAUUUCAAUUUGUCUCUAGGAGAUCCCCUCCCCACAAUUAAACGUGUUUAUAGGUAAUCAGACUACAAUGUUAAGCUGGGCCAAUGUAAUGGAACAGUAGAUAAAGUGCCUGACUUCAACACUUAAUCUCAGACAAUUAGUAGCUGAGUAAAUUUAGGCAUUUAGCCCCUGUAUGCCUCAGUUACCUCACCUGUAAAAUGGAGGUAAUAAUACCAUUUACUUCCCAAGGUUGUUGUCAAUCUAAAAUAGAAUAUUUGUACAGGACUUUGGAAACCUUAAAGUGCUAUACAAAUAUUAGUUACUGUUGUAAUUCUUCUUAUGUUAAAUGUAAGUUACUGAUCACAUGGCCAUAACAAAUACAUAUUAUAAUUAUUAUUGUAUAUUGUACUGAUAUUAUAAUAAUUACUGCACAUAUUUUGUUCAGUUGUUCAGGUGUGUCCAACUCUUUGUAAACCCAUAGACUA
RNAcentral lists this long non-coding RNA (1729 nucleotides) under Sarcophilus harrisii (Tasmanian devil). RNAcentral describes it as "lncRNA (ENSSHAG00000029448.1)". The record is from RNAcentral. Lineage: Eukaryota; Metazoa; Chordata; Mammalia; Dasyuromorphia; Dasyuridae.